AUGAUAUUAUAUAUGGUGAUGAGAUUGCACAAUACAACUUGCUAUGGGACUAUGCAAAUGAGCCGAGGAGGUCUAAUCCUGGUACUACUUUCUUUGUUGAACUUUCAGAUGAGGGGCAAUUUCAAAAAUGUUACUUCUCAUUUGACGCAUGCAAAAGGGGGUUCUCAUCAGCUUGUAGGCCCAUUAUUUUCCUGGAUGGCUGCCACUUGA
Molecule: ribosomal RNA, 210 nt
Filed under: Triticum aestivum (bread wheat)
Lineage: Eukaryota; Viridiplantae; Streptophyta; Magnoliopsida; Poales; Poaceae
Description: partial small subunit ribosomal RNA
Source: RNAcentral